Long non-coding RNA from Pelmatolapia mariae (spotted tilapia), 421 nucleotides. RefSeq lists it as uncharacterized. Lineage: Eukaryota; Metazoa; Chordata; Actinopteri; Cichliformes; Cichlidae. The record is from RefSeq and is a predicted model, not a curated record. The transcript is spliced from 3 exons.
AACUGGUUUGGGGCACACUUGACAUAAGGGCGAACCUGAAUUUAGCCAGUCAUUCUGAAGGUCAGUCAGCACCAUGGACAGAGAUCCUGUCAUCACAGCCUGACCUCUGGGGCCCCAUCUCACCACAAACACCAGGAGAAAACACUGGAAAGGCUCAAAAGCUGCCAGACCCUCAUUGUUUACUGUGCGUUUAUGGGAGGAAUGGACACAAGUACAUCCUACUGAUGAUACAGCAAAAGGGUGGUCAUAAGGCUUGAGUUAGGUCUAAAGAUGAUCAGACUGAUAAAGUUAUCUUAAAAUGCCUGCAGAAUGGAAAGUGAAAAACCUCAGGCUGGAAGUUAUUUUGGAGGGUCAGGCAGGACGCCAGUUGGCAGUGUGAGGCAUGAGGAAUGCAUGAGAGAAUAUGGGACGUACCAAGAGC